AUUCUAGUAGGGAAGGGAGCCGUGGUGGUUAGGACAUCUGCUCCCUUCUCAGAGCCAGAGGAAGGAGUCCUGUGAUGCCUGAAACCUGGAUUUGGGGACCUUCUGGGGCAGCAAGCAGGUGAGCAUCCAGACCACCCAUGGUCUGUUGUCUAGAGCUAACAGGACAGGAACAGGCAAGCGUGAAGGACUCUCUCCGGCUCCCUCUCCAGGGUCAAUUCUCAGGUCCAGGCUAGCCCUUUCUCUCCUCUAGAGGAGGUUCUGAAGGCUGGAAUUUCCCCAAGAAAGAAAAAGGCAGAGGAAUUAAGUUCUCUCUAGACGGAACGGAGCCAUCUGGGGAGGCAGAGUGAAUCUGCAGAUGACCUGGGGGAAGUGGUCAGCUUGUCACCCCGGGGUGCCUGUCCCACUCUGCCUCCACUGUGGGAACCCUGUGCAGCUGCCAUUCGGAUUGCAUAGAUGGCAACAGCGGGCUGUGACCGACAAUUGCCGCCACCUGGGGUGUGCCCACAGCCUUGUUCCCAGAGCCACGGUUUCCAGUCCUUCUCUGCAUGAGGGCCCAACCCGAGGAGGCUGGGGUCUACAUAUUGUCAUUUAGGGGAGAGCCAGACUCUGGCAUGGGAGGAGAAGGCCUAGACUUCUCGGUUGUGACGAAAUGAACCUUGAGGCCUGGUUUUCUAGAAUAAUUUCUCAGUCAAGAGAGAGAAUGCAUCCUGAAGGAAGAUGCAUUACAGUUCCAACUCAUUACAGUUGGAAACUCCAAGUGUCCUCUACCAGCUGACAUCUCAGCCCUCCAUGCUCCAAAAUUCUUAUAACACUUGCCCCACACGCCCAGAUUCGGGCCUGGGCCUUGCUCCGACACCCCUGUAUGCCUACACCAUGCCUCCUGGGGAGAAACUUGCCCUUUCUACCGCUUUCACUUAUAAUGAUGAGGUAUAAAUGGCUCCACCUGGAUCUGCUACUAUUAAUAGCAACCUCUGCCACUCCCAGUCAAACAACCCCAGGCGCUGUCAAUGAAAGCCCCAGGCUUCACGAGAGUCACAGAAGAGUGAGGAACUCUGGGCUGCUUUUCAGGGUGGUGGUGGUGGUGGUGAUUUAGGACAGAACAAGGGGCUGCCACCUGGGCCUAAUUAGACUUCCUCUUGCAGGAUAAGCCCCACACAGCAGAGUAUUCCCAGCACAAUUGUGCCUCUCAGCUCCCCUUACUGCUGCUGCUGCUAAGUCGCUUCAGUCGUGUCCAACUCUGUGUGACCCCAUAGAUGGAAGCCCACCAGGCUCCCCUGUCCCUGGGACUCUCCAGGCAAGAACACUGGAGUGGGUUGCCAUCUCCUUCUCCAAUGCAUGAAAGUGAAAAGUGAAAGUGAAGUCGCUCAGUCAUGUCCGACUCUUAGCGACCCCAUGGACUGUAGCCUUCCAGGCUCCUCCAUCCAUGGGAUUUUCCAGGCAAGAGUACUGGAGUGGGGUGCCAUUGCCUUCUCCGCAGCUGCCCUUACACUCCCUCAAAGCAGCCUGCACCCCACUUCCUCUUGCGCUUCCCAGAGCCCAACUUGUGUUGCAAUCUUACCCUUCUUAGAGCUGACAAGCACUUCCCACUCCCAGCUGUACAGAUGUCAGACCAGCAAUCUACGCCCUUGUCGAGGUGGCCCCACACAGCUUCUCAUGGCAUCUCCGCUGCAGGGUCUCUGGACCUCAGGACCCUUCAGCCAGCUCUGCUCUCAGUUUCUGCACUACUCGGACAUUGUUCUCCCUCUGCCACUGAGGAUUUGUCUGUAUAACAGCCGAGUUUCCAGAAGUUCAUUCACUCAGGUGGUGAGGUGAAGCCUAGAGUUUUGAUGACUUGCUCAAAAAUCCUAGGAACCCCUGUGCUGCAGAAGCUCUUCUCCUCUGACCGUAACAAACCCUCAGGCCCUGCUUAAGUCUCAGCUCUUCCAUGUGGCCCCACAGGCCCUCGGCUUCCAUCUACCCCAUUAGCGACACUGCCAGGCAUCUUUCUGCAUCAAGUCAGAGCUCCAGGCUCCUGGCUGUGGCCGAAGCAGGGAAGCACAAAUGAGAAAGGCAUGAACUGAGAGUCCCAGUGGGGAAAUGACCGUGAAGCAGCUUCCUGGGGAUAGAGCCUGUUGGGCCUGUUCCUCUUCUCUGCUGUUGGUAGAAAAGCACUUCUGACCCACUGUUACCUCUGCUGAGGAUGUGGCCAAGAUAUUAACCUCAGCUCAUGCCCAGGGAGUGAAGGAUUGUGUAAGCACCUAAGUCCCUGAAUUAAGCCCCUUGGCAUCUACGUGGAAUACCCCGAAGAGAUUCUGCCAUUAGAAGAGUUUUCUGAACCUUGACUGGGUGCAUGGCCUGAGGACUUUGCUACUGUGAGGUUGACCCCUGCUGGGCAGCAGUGAUGGCAGAAGCCUCAAACGGGACAGCUUCAUUUUGGGAAAUGACACUAAAAGGCGAGAAUGGAGGAGCAAUGAUUUGGAAGGAACCUAAGUCCUUGAGUGAUCAUGAGGAGCAGAGAUGCCCUGCUUACCUCCACCUUUCACAGAGGCAAGAGAAAGAAACUUUCUUGUUCAUUUGGCUGUUACAUGAUUGGGUGACGGAAAGGUGUCAGCCUCUCAGCUCAAACUAGUUUGUGAUUGCUCUUCUUCAGAACAGAUGACUC
Molecule: long non-coding RNA, 2641 nt
Organism: Bos taurus (domestic cattle)
Lineage: Eukaryota; Metazoa; Chordata; Mammalia; Artiodactyla; Bovidae
Source: Ensembl